GGGCUAAUGGUUUAAUGGUAUAAUAAUCCCUUAGCAUGGGAGUGGUUCGAGGUUCUAUUCCCCGUCAGUCCA
This is a non-coding RNA of Xylaria castorea, 72 nucleotides long. Lineage: Eukaryota; Fungi; Ascomycota; Sordariomycetes; Xylariales; Xylariaceae. The record is from the annotation of a GenBank genome assembly.